RNAcentral lists this long non-coding RNA (869 nucleotides) under Chinchilla lanigera (long-tailed chinchilla). Its description in RNAcentral is "lncRNA (ENSCLAG00000025015.1)". Lineage: Eukaryota; Metazoa; Chordata; Mammalia; Rodentia; Chinchillidae. The record is from RNAcentral.
UAUUUUGGAAUAAUUGACUUGCAGAUUUUUCCUUUUAUUUUCAAAAUAUAUGGCAAUAUUUUUAGAAUGAGUUAAUAGAAAUAUUUAAUUCAUAGUAAAUCAAUAGUACUGUUUCCUUAUAUCUAGAAUGACUAUGAUGUUGGCUAUAAAUAUGAAGCCUUCUUUCACACGUCAUUAUUUUCAAGAAUGACAUAUUCUCAAGCAAUGUGUGGAGUAAAGAAUUAUUACAUGAUGCAUUACUGUAAUUCCAGCACUUCGGAGGCUGAAGCAGGAGGGUCGUUGCAAAUUCAAGACCAGUCUGGGAUACAGAGUGAGCUCAAGUCUACCCUGGACUGCAUAGUGAGACUCUGUCUCAAAAAUACAAAAAUACAAUUAUUAGAGCUGAUUUUCCACUCAGAAUAAUCUUUUCCUUUCCUUUACUCUAGCCCUUUUAUAUUAGCUAAUGUUCACCUCCAAUGUAAGCUGUGUACAAAGCCAGCUACCCUGGUCGGGUCUGAGGAUGUAGGCACCUUACUCCAUCAACUGCUUUUAUAUUAUCCCAUAGAUCAUUUUAUUUUUUAAAACUUAACUUCUCUUUCUCCCUGGAUGGAAUUUCAGCAUCCUCAGUGGUACUAUCUUGGUGAGCAUGUCACGUAAGUAAAUAUUAAUCAGAGUAUUAAGUGCAAUUAUUAUCAGGUUCCCUUGGGAAAUAAAAAAUAAGAGACUGUUUACUCUUGACAUUCUCUUCACUGACUUGGAACACGUGAGAGAAGCAAUAAAGGAUGCUAACAAAGUAUUUCUUUGAACAGUCUGAACCUGGUAGGUUUGCUAAAUUUUAAUAGUAAAAACAAGGGCAGAUAAUGGUGCACCGCUUCUAUGGUUAUUUCUUU